AACGGAGGAUCCGAGCGUUAUCCGGAUUUAUUGGGUUUAAAGGGAGCGUAGGCGGGUUGUUAAGUCAGUUGUGAAAGUUUGCGGCUCAACCGUAAAAUUGCAGUUGAUACUGGCAUCCUUGAGUACAGUAGAGGUAGGCGGAAUUCGUGGUGUAGCGGUGAAAUGCUUAGAUAUCACGAAGAACCCCGAUAGCGAAGGCAGCUUACCAGACUGUUACUGACGCUGAAGCACGAGAGCGUGGGUAGCGAACAGG
Molecule: ribosomal RNA, 253 nt
Filed under: uncultured Bacteroides sp.
Lineage: Bacteria; Pseudomonadati; Bacteroidota; Bacteroidia; Bacteroidales; Bacteroidaceae
Description: partial 16S ribosomal RNA
Rfam family: Bacterial small subunit ribosomal RNA
Source: RNAcentral